UAGGGAAUCUUCCGCAAUGGGCGAAAGCCUGACGGAGCAACGCCGCGUGAGUGAAGAAGGAUUUCGGUUCGUAAAGCUCUGUUGCUAGGGAAGAAUGAUUGUGUAGUAACUAUACACAGUAGAGACGGUACCUAACCAGAAAGCCACGGCUAACUACGUGCCAGCAGCCGCGGUAAUACGUAGGUGGCAAGCGUUGUCCGGAAUUAUUGGGCGUAAAGCGCGCGCAGGUGGUUUAAUAAGUCUGAUGUGAAAGCCCACGGCUCAACCGUGGAGGGUCAUUGGAAACUGUUAAACUUGAGUGCAGGAGAGAAAAGUGGAAUUCCUAGUGUAGCGGUGAAAUGCGUAGAGAUUAGGAGGAACACCAGUGGCGAAGGCGGCUUUUUGGCCUGUAACUGACACUGAGGCGCGAAAGCGUGGGGAGCAAACAGGAUUAGAUACCCUGGUAGUCCACGCCGUAAACGAUGAGUGCUAAGUGUUGGUCUCAUAAGAGAUCAGUGCUGCAGCUAACGCAUUAAGCACUCCGCCUGGGGAGUACGACCGCAAGGUUG
This 548-nucleotide ribosomal RNA is filed under the name uncultured bacterium. RNAcentral describes it as "bacterial SSU rRNA". It matches the Rfam family "Bacterial small subunit ribosomal RNA", at positions 355 to 896 of the family's 1533-position model. The record is from RNAcentral.